This is a long non-coding RNA of Fukomys damarensis (Damara mole-rat), 681 nucleotides long. RefSeq lists it as uncharacterized. The transcript is spliced from 3 exons. The record is from RefSeq and is a predicted model, not a curated record. NCBI's taxonomy places the organism in Eukaryota, Metazoa, Chordata, Mammalia, Rodentia, Bathyergidae.
CAUGAAUUCCCAGUGUAAUACUGGUGGCAAAAGCCACCUUUCAUUACCCAGGACAUUUGCCAAAGUCAGUGUCAAUGGUAUUUACAGAAAUGGGGAUGUGUGAAAUGACUGGCCAGAAAAGCUGGAUGGUGGCCACAGAUGAAAUUUAAACACCCUGGUAAAAAGAAGGAACAAAUCUUGGAAGGAACAAAGUGCUAGAGAAUGGAUUCACAGCCUAAUACAAACUAGCACAAAGACCCAGAGGUCCACAGAGUGGACUCCAGAGGCCGCCACAGAUAAAUGCAACAAUUGAAGAGAGCAGUGGACACAAUAGACUGCAGUGGCUGGUGAGUUUUUCGGGUUCAGAUGCCACCCAGCAGAGCACGAUUGGCCAGUAGGACUCAGAGCAACUGUGGACUGGCCCCAUCUAGAAGCUCCCAAUGUCAGGGAGAGACUGCUGAGUUAAAUCAGCAGGAUGCCAAGGAGCUGAGUUCCAGCUGGCAGGAGGCACAUUGAGUAUCUACAACAAAUUGUGUCCCAGACUCACAGCCAGAAAUGAGCCUGAACUUCAGUGGAACUAAAGGUUAAGGCUUGCUGGGAUUAUCCAAUACUCUGCUGUAAAUUUAUGGCUGACUUGUUGGGAUUAAUCAACAUGGAUCUGGACUCUGUCCAUCCACUUUGUAUACCAAUGACAGCAGAGAC